Molecule: long non-coding RNA, 3601 nt
Filed under: Homo sapiens (human)
Lineage: Eukaryota; Metazoa; Chordata; Mammalia; Primates; Hominidae
Description: HSALNT0070543
Source: RNAcentral
ACCAAUUCCGGACACAUAACCAUGCCUAGGAAGGAAAGGAGUUGCUGUUUUGUAGAAGCGAUUGGGAUUUGGGAGAUUAGCUGGAUAUGAUCAGCAGGGAGAGCACGUGUGUUUUCAUGAGAAUUAUGCCAAGCUUCCCUUUGUGGCUAGAGUGAAGUAUACUGGUAUAAAGUGCUCUAAAAAUACAGAAACUGAGAGAAGAAGAAAUAUGAAAAAGAAAUGGAGAAAUGUGAGAGAGAAAACCAUUUACUGUGCGACAUUAGACUUCCUCGUGAUGAAGGAGGAGGAGAACAUUGGAUCUGAUAGGUGAUUCAAGUCUAAAAAUUGACUGAACUAAAAUUUAAAAGCCAAAAAAGGUGAAAGGUGAUGGAAUCUGUCUCAAGUAUGAAGAGUUCCUGUAACUUCAUAAGGAUGAAAGAUUUAACAGAGUACACUUAAGAGCAACAAGACAACUGUAAUCUUUUCACAUUUAUACCGCAGUGGACUGAGAUUCAACAAUCUGGUAAUGUUGUUCUCCUCCUACUCUUUUCCUUCUCCACCUGUGUCUGCUUUUUCUUCUCCUUAUUAUUAUUAUGUUGUUAUUCAUUAGUUACCAAAACCUGAAAUAUUUCUCAGGGUUCUUCAAGUGUAAUGCAAAUCUGGCUAUAAAUUGAGAUUUUCUACUCACCCUUUCAAUUCUUGAAAACACUAACUUAUAAACUUCCAAAACAUACAGGAGAUCCCUAAAUAGUAAACAUGGAGAAAUAACAUAGGUGUAAUGAUUUUAUUAAAUUAUAAUAACUAGAAACAAACCUCUGUAGUUUCUGAUUUCUUUGUUAGAUGCUUGAAAUUGCAAAGCCACACCCCAUAAACUUGCGAGGAUCCAUAGCUGUGGUCACCCCUCCUUCCCGCCAGAAUGAAUAACCAGCUGUGCUACUUGAAUUUCUAUUCAUUAGGAGAAUUUACCAUCAGCAUUGCCUUUCAGGGUCAUCCUGGAUUGGUGCAAUCGUACUCAAACUGUCCAUCUUUGCAUGGUGCCUACAUAUUGUGCAGAACCAUCUGGAAACCAAGCUUGAGUUUUUCUUCCUCAACCAACUGUUCAACGUAAAUGUGUGGAUUGAGAAAGAGAAGCCAGUGCAGCAGGAGUAUAUGAAGUGUGGAUUUGUGUUACUUCCUCAUUCACUUGUGCCUUCAGGGCAUGCUUAAAGCUGAUCUCAUAUAUGCUACUUUCAAUUUAUGGAGCACUGCUGUGAACGCCCAACUUUAUGGGUUGAGGAGUCAGACAAUACCCAGUUUCUGAUGGGCAGUUCAGGUCACAUAUUGACUUGAUAACCCAUGAUAAAGCAUUUGGUCUCUACGGAGUUCUGAUAACAAGACAAAGGCUAUUUUUCAAAAGAAGAGUGGUUAGGCAUAGAGUAGAAGAUAAUAUUGCUUAGCUCCCAAAUUCUAAGCCUUUGCCCUGUGAUCCAUCUAUAACUCCCUGUCAAAGCCUCCAUAAAGCAUCCUAUUUGCAACUUACAUCUCAAGCAACAACAGGUCUGUUAACUCACAUGGCCCAAAUUGUGGAGCAGCUUGCAUGGCAGCCUGAAUCUAUUGACAAGCCUUCUUUGGUUCUUGGGCUCGUACACUAGAAAAUCAAUCAAGGUCUCUGCAGCCUAGGACAUGACAUAGGCUGGAGAGUUGACAUAAUGCUAAAGUAGAGCAAGGGAGCCAAAUGCUAGUCCUUUUAACAGAAAUGAAACUGCUUUCGAUGAUCUUUAUUAAUAGGUAUGGAGAAAAAUGCAGUGUCCAGCUUAAUUGUCCCAGCUAUUGAGGAUCUGACUCCAAUAUAUAUAUAUUUUUGGGGGUUACAUAAUUCCAUUCAUAAUACCACCAGAGGCAUUGAACUUGAAUGGACCAGAGAGGACAGGCAAACUUCAUGAACAAGUAGUGCAGUUCUCCAUAAUACUGAGAAUGCUGCAUAAUUCUGAAUUCCUGAUACUGAAUUAUAGUUUAAGGAGACCAACCAGGCCUUUGGUGGAAAGUAGAUUACAUCACAUCAUUUCUGUCUUAGAAAGGCCAACAGUUCAUUCUCAUAGCUGUAGGCAUAUUUAAUAUAUGAACUUACAUUUUCUACCCAAACAACCUCAGCUAGCCAAUUAUCUGGAGGUUUACGCUAUACCUGAUACAUUGGUAUAAACUCCCAUAUGACAAGACAUGGCUAGUAACCAGGAAGAAUUUUCACGUGAAGGAGGCACAGCAGUGGUCCCAUAACCAUGGGUAUGGGUUCCACUGGCUAUGUCACAUACUGUAUCAUGCUAAUGCACCUAGUCUCAUACACUUUUGGAAUUGCCUACAAAAGGUACAGCUGAAGUAGUAGCAUUGAGAUAACAUUUUGUGAAGAAGAAAUUCCACCCUUCAGGAUGCAGUACAUGCAUCGAAUCAGAGAUCUCUCUAUGGCAUUGUGUCCAUAAUGAAAAGAAUAGAUAGGUCCAGGAAUGUAAGAUUACAAACAGGAGUGGCCCUUCUUUCACUGAUAUCCAAUAACCCCUAGGAAUUUUGUGCUUUUGGUCCCUCCAUGUUUGGGAUCUUCAGAACUGAAGCUAUUUAUCCCCCAAAUAGGUACAUUCUUGAUGUGGACAUCAUAAUAGUUCCAUUUAACUAUAAACUGCUGCUUUUGUCAGAGCAUUUUAUUCUGCAGCCAUCAGACAAGAAGUCACCAUCCUGACUGGGGUAAUUGACCCUACUCAGCCAGAGGACUUUGGGCUGUUUUACACAGUGAGGACAUGAAGAAAUACUUGUGGAUGCUAGUUGAUUUACUUGAGCCCUUUUCCAUACUUUCUGGACAUAUAAAGCAACUUGACCUGGGAAGAAUGGUUGCCAAAGGGCCUUACUACCUGGAAUAUAGGUUUCAUUCACACUACCACAUAAGACACCAAAACCUGUGGAGAUGAUAGCUGAAGGUGAGGAUUUAGAUAUACAGAGAAUGUAGAGUGUCCAAUAAGAGAUAAAGUACAUGAGUAACAGGUGUGUUCCCAAGAGCAACUGCAAGGACGAUGGCUACAAUUCAACUCACUAACUUUCCUUUGCUAAGUUCCCUCUUAGAGAACCAUGAAGUAGCUGCUUCCAAGUAUAGAUGAAGAAGUGGACCUAAGUAUAACAAGAGGUGAACUGUGAUGGCCAUGUAGGUGUGCUGCUGUAAUUUCCAUCAAGAGAACGGCUAGAAGAACAUAGUGGACUGACAGCUUCUAUCAGCUCCUGUCCGUUUGGAUCUGCUAUCAUGUUUAUGCUAAUACUUGCUCUUCUCACUGUCCAUCAAUGACUGAGAACAGUAGAUGGUUCAUGCCUGUAAUCCCAGCACUUUGGGAGGCUAAAGCAGGAGGAUCACUCAAGCCCAGGUGUUCCAGACCAGCCUGGGCAACAUAGUGAGACCGUAUCUCUACAAAAAGUAUGAAAAUUACUCUGGUGUGGUGGUGCACACCUGUAGUACCAGCUACUCAGGAGUCUGAGGCAGGAGAAUAAAUGGAGCCCAAGAGGUUGAGGCUACAGUGAGCCAUGGUCCUGCCAUUGCACUCCUGCCUGGGUGACAGAGCCAGAUGCUGAAGAAGAAAAGAAAAGAAAAGAAAAGAAAAGAAAAGAAAAG